This 86-nucleotide transfer RNA is filed under the name Planctomycetes bacterium ADurb.Bin069. RNAcentral's name for it is "tRNA-Ser". It matches the Rfam family "tRNA". From Rfam's summary of the family: Transfer RNA (tRNA) molecules are approximately 80 nucleotides in length. Lineage: Bacteria; Pseudomonadati; Planctomycetota. The record is from RNAcentral. RNAcentral also lists the same sequence under 1 other name.
GCCGAAGUGGCGGAAUUGGCAGACGCGCUAGCUUCAGGAGCUAGUGGGGUUCCCCCAUGGAGGUUCGAGUCCUCUCUUCGGCACCA